This 382-nucleotide ribosomal RNA is filed under the name uncultured eukaryote. Its description in RNAcentral is "partial 18S ribosomal RNA". It matches the Rfam family "Eukaryotic small subunit ribosomal RNA", at positions 592 to 976 of the family's 1831-position model. The record is from RNAcentral.
CAAUAGCGUAUAUUAAAGUUGUUGCAGUUAAAAAGCUCGUAGUUGGACUUCUGCGGGUGGCGGCCGGUCGUGCUCGAAACGGGCGUGAACUUGGCGUGCUGCCCGCAUCUUUGGGGAGAUUGUGCGUGGCAUUAAGUUGUCGUGCAUGGGAUUCUCAUCAUUUACUGUGAAAAAAUUAGAGUGUUUAAAGCAGGCCUUUGCCCUGAAUACAUUAGCAUGGAAUAAUAAGAUAGGACCGUUGUCUAUUUUGUUGGUUUACAGAUGUCGGUAAUGAUUAAUAGGGAUAGUUGGGGGUAUUCGUAUUCAGUUGUCAGAGGUGAAAUUCUUGGAUUUUCGGAAGACGCACGACUGCGAAAGCAUUUACCAAGGAUGUUUUCAUUAA